Molecule: long non-coding RNA, 337 nt
Filed under: Salvia miltiorrhiza (redroot sage)
Lineage: Eukaryota; Viridiplantae; Streptophyta; Magnoliopsida; Lamiales; Lamiaceae
Description: long non-coding RNA (SMIL_LNC009061)
Source: RNAcentral
AUAGAUCUGAGAGAGAGAGAGAGAGAGAGAGAGAGAAAAGGUGUUACCUGAGGCAGGGAGCAGCUGUGCGAGGCGGCGGUGGUAGUGGCGGGAUUCGCCGGAGGGGCGAAAUUCAGAGAGGAAAGAGAGGCUGAAAACCCUAGAAAUUGAGGAUUUUGUUCUUGGGGAAAAAAUAGGGCACAAAAGGGAAGGAGAGGAGGAGGAAGAACAGGGGCCGACCUCUUCGCGCCAGAGGGAGGCUGCGAUUCAGGGCGGCCGCUCACCGGAGUCGACAGAGAAUGGCGAGAGAGAGGGGUACCGUUUCAAACUUUAGAGAAGAAGGAGACUGUGGGUUCGC